This 74-nucleotide transfer RNA is filed under the name Steroidobacter sp. RNAcentral describes it as "tRNA-Leu". It matches the Rfam family "tRNA". Rfam says of the family: Transfer RNA (tRNA) molecules are approximately 80 nucleotides in length. Their secondary structure includes four short double-helical elements and three loops (D, anti-codon, and T loops). Further hydrogen bonds mediate the characteristic L-shaped molecular structure. tRNAs have two regions of fundamental functional importance: the anti-codon, which is responsible for specific mRNA codon recognition, and the 3' end, to which the tRNAs corresponding amino acid is attached (by aminoacyl-tRNA synthetases). tRNAs cope with the degeneracy of the genetic code in two manners: having more than one tRNA (with a specific anti-codon) for a particular amino acid; and 'wobble' base-pairing, i.e. permitting non-standard base-pairing at the 3rd anti-codon position. The record is from RNAcentral. Lineage: Bacteria; Pseudomonadati; Pseudomonadota; Gammaproteobacteria; Steroidobacterales; Steroidobacteraceae.
AGCAAUGUAGCUCAGUGGGUAGAGCAAGCAGCUCAGAACUGCUGUGUCGAGGGUUCAACUCCCUCUAUUGCGUA